GAACACGCCCGUGUGGCUUUGGGACAUGCCUGUGUGGGUAGGCUGUGUGGUCAUACACGCUCAUGUCCCUAACCUGUGUAACUCUCUGUUUGUCACCUAAGAACAAAUUGAAGUCACACUGCCAAUGCAUACACUCGUGUGCUUAGGCCGUGUGGUCGAUUUGAUUUUUUCAUAAUUUUCAUAAAAUAGGUGCAGACUUCACACGCCUAAGGCAUACGCCCGUGCUUGGGGCCGUGUCAUCCACACGACUGAGACACACGCCCAUAUCUCUUCCCAUGUGCUUGACACUGAGCAUUCUGUUUUGCAACAAUGAAGGUACAUGGGACACACAGCUGGAACACACGCC
This 346-nucleotide long non-coding RNA is filed under the name Gossypium barbadense (sea-island cotton). RNAcentral describes it as "long non-coding RNA (GBAR_LNC004332)". Lineage: Eukaryota; Viridiplantae; Streptophyta; Magnoliopsida; Malvales; Malvaceae. The record is from RNAcentral.